UACCGCCAGAAAAUUACGGGCGAAAGCCUAAAACUCAAAAGACUUGACGGUGUUUCAAUCUACCUAGAGGAGCCUGUUCCAUAAUCGACAACCCACGAUAUACCUAACCACCCUUAGACCCCCCAGCCUAUAUACCGCCGUCGUAAGCUUACCUUUAAAAGAACUUAAGUUAGCCCAAGAGUAAUAUACUAAUAAGUCAGGUCAAGGUGUAGCUUAUAGGGUGGAGGAGAUGGGCUACAUUAUUUAAUAUAAAUAUACGAACUCUCAAUAUACCCUGAAAAAGAAAAUGAAGGCGGAUUUAGCAGUAAUUUAAGCAAGAAUACUUAAAUUAA
This 332-nucleotide ribosomal RNA is filed under the name Anadia rhombifera. RNAcentral's name for it is "partial 12S ribosomal RNA". It matches the Rfam family "Bacterial small subunit ribosomal RNA", at positions 867 to 1366 of the family's 1533-position model. Lineage: Eukaryota; Metazoa; Chordata; Lepidosauria; Squamata; Gymnophthalmidae. The record is from RNAcentral.